This 217-nucleotide non-coding RNA is filed under the name Sarcina sp. DSM 11001. The record is from RNAcentral. Lineage: Bacteria; Bacillati; Bacillota; Clostridia; Eubacteriales; Clostridiaceae.
GGAAACCCCAUCCGGUAAGGACUAACCAAUCCACCGGUAGCGAGUCUUGGAACCGAAGCGGUAACGUUAGGUUUAAGCGUAGACAGUUAGGUGGCAGGGACGGCUAUUGAGCGCCGAAAUACCCAAUUCGCAGGGCAAUGCUGUUGUCAGAGCAGAAGCCAACAUGUGAAGUAUCGUUUUGGUGAGAUGCUUUACACUGCGGCGGCGUCGGAAGGAU